Molecule: long non-coding RNA, 621 nt
Organism: Uranotaenia lowii
Lineage: Eukaryota; Metazoa; Arthropoda; Insecta; Diptera; Culicidae
Exons: 3
Source: RefSeq, a predicted model, not a curated record
UACGAUGGGGUCCUCUUUAAGAUAUUCAUUAGCUGCUGAUGCGGAGCGGAAGUCGUCGAGCUCAAAUUUAGCCGGUAUGACGGAAUAUUCUUCAGUAGGCCUGCCUCUGAUGCAGUACUCGAUGGAUUUCUCACUCCUUGUGGACAAAUGCUGUUGGAAUUUUCCUCUGUACGUUUCUUUAUGCCACCAUCCAUCUUCUGAAUUUCGGAAAACAAAAUCGACUACAUGCAGGAUGCGAAUAUCAACGCUAAUUUCUAGAAACGCGUCGUACCAAUUUAUAGUUUGCAAUGGAUUAGACUUCAGUAACGAAAAUUGCUGUUGAGACAGCCACCAUCAUCGCAAAUUAAUUGAACGGAAGUUAUCCAGCUAGACAUUACGACGAAGAUAGUUUGAAAGUGAUGACUAAAGGUGAAUAAUUUAAGCUUCGAAACCGAACAAAUCGUUAAAUUGAUCAUCUUUUAAAUUGAUUUUUUUGUUAAUAUUAAAAUUCUAAAUUUAGCUUGGAAAUUUAUAGAGAAAGUACUGAGUAUUCACAAAAUAAUUAGCAAUUUUUUCUAAGAUAAAAAAGUAGCAAAAAUGCUAACUAAAAGUUUUUUUUUAAAUGUGAACUAUCAGAUUGAU